Molecule: transfer RNA, 54 nt
Filed under: Phytoseiulus persimilis
Lineage: Eukaryota; Metazoa; Arthropoda; Arachnida; Mesostigmata; Phytoseiidae
Description: tRNA-Cys
Source: RNAcentral
AAAGAUAAUUAAAUUAAUUUGCAAAAUUAAUUGUUCUUAUUAAAGAUAUCUUUU